RNAcentral lists this ribosomal RNA (283 nucleotides) under uncultured prokaryote. RNAcentral describes it as "partial 16S ribosomal RNA". It matches the Rfam family "Bacterial small subunit ribosomal RNA", at positions 524 to 817 of the family's 1533-position model. The record is from RNAcentral.
UACGUAGGGGGCGAGCGUUGUCCGGAAUUAUUGGGCGUAAAGGGUUCGCAGGCGGUUUUUUAAGUCAGGUGUGAAAGGCAUAGGCUCGACCUGUGUAAGCACUUGAAACUGGAGGACUUGAGUUAAGGAGAGGAAAGUGGAAUUCCUAGUGUAGCGGUGAAAUGCGUAGAUAUUAGGAGGAAUACCAGUGGCGAAGGCGACUUUCUGGACUUAUACUGACGCUGAGGAACGAAAGCGUGGGGAGCAAACAGGAUUAGAUACCCUGGUAGUCCCUGAGCGGGCU